GACGAACGCUGGCGGCGUGCUUAACACAUGCAAGUCGAACGGAAAGGCCCUGCUUGCAGGGUACUCGAGUGGCGAACGGGUGAGUAACACGUGGGCGAUCUGCCCUGCACUUCGGGAUAAGCCUGGGAAACUGGGUCUAAUACCGGAUAGGAGCCAUUUUUAUUGUGAUGGUUGGAAAGUUUUUUCGGUGUAGGAUGAGCUCGCGGCCUAUCAGCUUGUUGGUGGGGUAAUGGCCUACCAAGGCGGCGACGGGUAGCCGGCCUGGGAGGGUGGACGGCCACAAUGGGGAUGGGAAAAGGCCCAAGACCCUAAGGGGGGCAACAGGGGGGAAUAAUGCAAAAAGGGGGGAAGCCUGAUGGAGGGACGGCGGGGGGGGGAUGAAGGGCUUCGGGUUGUAAAAUCCUUUCGCUAGGGACGAAGCUUUGUGUGACGGUACCUAGAUAAGAAGCACUGGCUAACUACGUG
Molecule: ribosomal RNA, 465 nt
Filed under: uncultured bacterium
Lineage: Bacteria
Description: partial 16S ribosomal RNA
Rfam family: Bacterial small subunit ribosomal RNA
Source: RNAcentral